Molecule: transfer RNA, 78 nt
Filed under: Streptomyces plicatus
Lineage: Bacteria; Bacillati; Actinomycetota; Actinomycetes; Kitasatosporales; Streptomycetaceae
Also listed under: 1 other name
Description: tRNA-Gly
Source: RNAcentral
ACCGCGGACGGCACGAGCGGGUCGUCCGACGCCGCUGCCGGCGGUGUCCGGUGACCGUUCCCACACGGUCCCGCGCCC